This 2284-nucleotide long non-coding RNA is filed under the name Homo sapiens (human). RNAcentral's name for it is "HSALNT0042984". The record is from RNAcentral. Lineage: Eukaryota; Metazoa; Chordata; Mammalia; Primates; Hominidae.
CCCCGCGGUUGUGGGUGUCCCGCGGCGCCGGAAACUGGGCGCACACACCCUCGGAUUGACGUGCGCACGCGCACCGGUUACCUUCAGGAGCGCCGAAGAAGGAAAGAAGAACACAGAGCCCGAGGCAAAGCUUAAGUGCUUACGCUUUUGUCGGGAGGUACAGACCCAGCUCUGCGAGAGCCAGGGGAAAAGGAAGAGAGGCAGGGAAGGAAUGGCAGCAAGUACAAGGUGAUGAAUGACUGCACUGGCCAUUGCUUCAUGAAGAGCCACGAAAAAACAGAGCCGGUUUCUCAGCAGGUGGCUGGCUGCUCAGUCACAAAGGACCUCUUUGGACAGGCUUUAUGGAAAUACUGUGCCUAGGACAGUCGCUCAAAGGCAGGAGGGAGAGAAAAUGCAUCUGCAAGCUCACUUUGUCUUCUUUCUUCUGCUGGUCAAAAUUUGCUGGCUGGGGCAGUUAACGCCCUCACACAUCCGAGUUGUGUCACCUGGCCCCUUUGGUAGCCACUGGGGAAGCCAGAUCUAGGCAUGUGGCCUGAUGGCUCCUGCGGUGGAACCACAUGCUCACACUCAGUCAGUCACCACUGGGAUGCCCUGGGCAGGGCAGGCUGAGUGGCUGGGAGAUAGCUGAGCCUAAGAUAUCUAAGCAAGCACCUGUGAUGUAUGCACUGCAGUGUCCAAAUGUGAAAAAGCAAGAAAGGGAGAUAGAAGCAUAUUUUUUUCUGGAGAGAAGGAGGAAACCACCAGGAGAAUACAAACAGAAAAAAGAUGGAGUUGAGCUCUGUCGCCCAGGCUGGAGUGCAGUGGCACCAUCUCAGCUGACUGUGACCUCCGCCUCCUGGGUUCAAGUGAUUCUCCUGCAUCAGCCUCCCGAGUAGCUGGGACUACAGGUGCACACCACCAUGCCCGGCUAAUUUUUGUAUUUUUAGUAGAGACGGGGUUUUGCCAUGAUGGCCAGGUUUGGUCUCAAACUCCUAACCUCAAGUGAUCCACCCUCCUCAGCCUCCCAAAGUGCUGGGAUUACAGGCGUGAGCCACUGCGCCCCGCCUACUUGAAUUUUUUUUUUUUUUUUUUUUUUUGAGACAGAGUUUUGCUCCUGUUGCCCAGGCUGGAGUGCAACGGCAUGAUCUCGACUCACUGCAACCUCUGCCUCCUGGGUUCAAGUGAUUCUCCUGCCUCAGCCUCCCAAAUAGCUGGGAUUACAGGUGCCCACCACUGUGCCUGGCUGAUUGUAUUUUUAGUAGAGAUGGGGUUUCAUCAUGUUGGUCAGGCUGGUCUUGAACUCCAGACCUCAGGUGAUCGGACUGCCUCGGCCUCCCAAAGUGCUGGGAUUACAGGCAUGACCCACUGUGCCCGGACCUGCUUGAAUUUUUAUGAUGAGCAUGUUGGCAGAUCACGACUGCCAGCUCCGUGACAGCAAGAACCUUGUAUGACUUUUUCAUGAUGGAUGUUCAUCUGUGCCAUCUGUAAAUAUUGAAUAAAUAUUUGUGGAAUACAUGAAUCUAAAAGUGAAUGGAAUGAUAAAGAGGGAAAGGGUCAUGACAUCUACUACAGCAUUUGGCACAGACCCAGGUUUCCCUGGUACUGGUAAUUCCCAGCAGCUUUCUACAAUUCCAAAGCUGUCUGCAGUACUAUCAAGAGAUGACAUGGACUUCAAGGAUCAAACAGGGGAGAAAAAGGCUUAAAAGAAAAACAAGUCUCCAUCAAAGGUAAUAACCACAAUGAGAACUAUACAUAGCUAUGUGCUUAUAGGUCUUAGUUCACAUUCCCCUCAUUAAAAUUAUAGCUCAAGAAAUAAAGGGCUGUUUAAUGACUUGGGUAUAUAAAUAUACUUCAUUUGUAUAUUUUUUACUUGCUAAAAUCUAUCCAAAUUGGUAUUACCUCAAACCAUAAUCUUCUACUGUAUUUUAUAAUUUUACUUUAUUGCCAUGUAUUUUUCCCACUGAUGUUCACAAAUUCACAGGAAACAUCAGCCAUGUACUAAAUAAAAUAUGAAUUGAAUCGACAAAUAGAACUAUAAAUUUAAUUCAAGCACAUGUAAAAUUUAGACCAAAGAAUAAAAAUGUCUAUUAAAAAUACAGCCAAGCAUGGUGGCUCACACCUGUAAUCCCAGCACUUUGGGAGGCCGAGGUGGGUGAAUCAUCUGAGGUCAAGAGUUUGAGACCAGCUGGCCAUUGUGGUGAAACCCCAUCUCUACUAAAAUACAAAAAUUAGCUGGGUGUGAUGGUGGGCACCUGUAAUCCCACUACUUGGGAGGCUGAGGCAGGAGAAUCGCUUGAACCCAGGA